CGUAGGGGGCUAGCGUUGUCCGGAAUCAUUGGGCGUAAAGAGCGUGUAGGCGGCCCGGUAAGUCCGCUGUGAAAGUCGGGGGCUCAACCCUCGAAUGCCGGUGGAUACUGUCGGGCUAGAGUGCGGAAGAGGCGAGUGGAAUUCCUGGUGUAGCGGUGAAAUGCGCAAAUAUCAGGAGGAACACCGAUUGCGAAGGCAGCUCGCUGGGACGUAACUGACGCUGAGACGCGAAAGCGUGGGGAGCAAACAGGAUUAGAUACCCUGGUAGUCCACGCUGUAAACGAUGGGCACUAGGUGUGGGGGGUGUCGACUCCCUCCGUGCCGAAGCUAACGCAUUAAGUGCCCCGCCUGGGGAGUACGGCCGCAAGGCUA
This 372-nucleotide ribosomal RNA is filed under the name uncultured organism. Its description in RNAcentral is "bacterial SSU rRNA". It matches the Rfam family "Bacterial small subunit ribosomal RNA", at positions 526 to 896 of the family's 1533-position model. The record is from RNAcentral.